This is a non-coding RNA of Sus scrofa (pig), 3506 nucleotides long. The record is from RefSeq and is a predicted model, not a curated record. NCBI's taxonomy places the organism in Eukaryota, Metazoa, Chordata, Mammalia, Artiodactyla, Suidae.
UUUCAUCCACUGGGCAUUCAGGAACCACAGCAAACUUUCCUUCCGGGACCAUCAGACACAACUGGACAACGCAGCCUGGACAACGAAAGCGGAAGCCGGCCCUCGGAGGACAGGUCGUUCCUGAGCGUAGGCUACGUCGUGGUUCCUGACCUCGAGGUUCUAGAAUCCGAGAGGUGAGAGGGGCCAUAAGUGUCACACUGGUGUCCUGGCUGGGGGCCUGGAGAGGAGGACAGCCUCCAACAGCUGCCACCUGCCCCAAAUGCCCACCUGAAAUGUGUCUCUCAUCCUGGCCUCGCCUUGUCAUAACCGUGGACUCCGAGGUGGCUCCCACACUGGCAUGGGUGGUUCCCUGUCUGGGGGUGGAGGAGGGACCAGCAGAAGUGUGGUCCCUGGGAGGCAGCUGUGAGGGGUCCUCUGAGACCUGAAGGCCCAGGGGGCCUCAGAAGCCUCUGUCCCCCAGGCAGGAGUGACAGCUGCUGACCUGGCCAUGGCCCCAGUCAUUCGGCUGGCUCUUCCAAUGCACCUGCUACAUGCAGGCACUGUGCUGGGUGACAAGAAGGAGAAGGUCUGCCCCUUGAUCGAUGUCACUAAAGGGAAGGGACAGCCCUACCCCCUGGGAUACGGGAUACAAGGUCAGCCCUGGGGCCAAGGCUGAGAGCCUGGCACGCGGUAGGGUUUCAGCAAAGGUUUGCUGAGUGGAUACACGACAAGGCUAAAAAGCACAGACUUUGAAGCCAGAGGGGCCUGAGUCCAAGAUCCUGAUUCUUCCCUUUCGGGGCUGGGUGGCCCGAGGAUAUCACUUCACCUCUCCGGGUCCCAGGUUCCUAUUCUGUGAAAUGCAAAGCUUAAUGUUAGUUUGGUAGGAUUUUUGUGAGGGCUCGCGGGGAGACGGCAUUCGCAAGGUGCUUGGCUCCUAGUAGGAGCUCAGCAGAUGUGCUCCAGCUGGCCCCACCCCCUGGCCGCAGGGCUCCAGGCUCACCUGUGGGCGGCUGAGGCCCCGCCCUCCUCCUCCUGGCAGCUCCAGCCCCCAGCAGGUGACUGCAGAGGCUCUGGGUGCCAGCCCUGGGAGCGUGGGAACUUCCUGCCGCCCUGUUUGUCUUGGGCUGCCGGGGAGGGGCUGCCACCCUCUGUCCGCUCCAGCGAGGCUCCUGCCAGGUCGCCCAGCGUGAAAAGGAAGAAUUGUUCCCGUGACCUUUGCUUUCCUUGUCAGAGGUGAUUUCAGCAAGUACCGCCCCUCUCCCCUAAAAGCCAGGCCAGCCUUGGUUCCCACCACCUAAGGGACACCUAUGUACCUGGGCAGGCAGGGCCACUGGGAGAACUGGCAGCCUUGCCCCUGCUAGCGGGCGUGAGGCCCCACGCCCCUCUGUCCCCACCCCUGAGCCAGGAGUUGGCCAGGGUUCCCUCGUUGUGUCAAUAUCCCCCCACCCCUCACUCGGGCCUCAUUUCUCUUUGCUGAGUGAAUACACAAGACUGAAAAUCACAGACUUUGAAGGCAGGACCUUGCAUGGGACCCAGCCCAAGGUCAGAGGCUCAGUCAAGCUCCCCACCCCCCCAGAGCAAGGCACCCUCUCCGCCUCCUGCUUCUACUCCACCCUGCUCUGGGAGGGGUUAGUGCCAGUCUCUAGAGGUGGGCCACAGGUCUCUACCUGGUUAGAGCAGCUUUCUCCACCGAGUUUUUAUCACUCCGCCUCACCCUCCUCCACCCCUGGCCAUGGUUCCCAGCCCGGCACCGACUGCGCUUUCCCUGCUUUGACACGGCUGGUGGCCCCAGCGUGUCACCCUGGCAGCCGCGGAGCCUUCUGGAGAUGAGCCAUGUGGUGGCCACUGCAGGCAGCACAGCCGAGGUUAAGGGCAGCCUCGGAUCACGGAGGCUCCGUUUCCGAUUUUCCAGAAGAUGCUGAUUGUUAAUGAUCGUUGUUCUUUCCUUCUGGGGCAUAAAAAAGCAGGGUCAGCUCACAACCGGAAAAGCAGCAGGUCAAGGUUCCCAGAGUAUGAAAUGUCAGCCUCCGGCGGCAAUGACAUUCACCCAGAGGCACUAAAAAUAGACGCCAAACAGAAGCAUCAAGUCUCUGGAGGCUGGAGAAAUAAGGGAGGCAGCGUGCAGGCCCUGGACCUUGUCAAUCUGCGGGAACAUUCGGAGCCUGAGCCCCAGCGUUCCCACGCCACGUCAGCUGCCAAGGAGGGGCCCCGACGGCAGUGUCCCCGCCUGUCCCAGACCACCCGCCCGCAAAGGCCCGAGUCUCCCAUUGCACGACUUGGCAAACCAAGCCCACCAAAGACCCUCACGGCCGCCCAGUCCCAGAGCACGGGGUCUGGGGUGGGGCGCACUGUUUCCUGGGCUCCUCGCAGGCCCCCCUCCCCUUGUGGUGUGGGGUGGGGCCGCCAGCCCACCAAGGCAGGGGGCGCAGAGCCUCUGCGGGCUGUUUGUCAGGAAGAUCCACUGCUUCUGGAAGCCUCCCUCGAGGGCUGGGGUGGCACAGCUGGGGCAGGAGGCGAGCCUGGGUGGGGCCCCCUUUGUGCCCACGCCUGCACUCUGUCCCCUCUGGGCCUCCCGCUUGGCCCAACCAGGGGCCUGAAAUUCCUGUGACCCCCACUUUCCCAAAUCGUCUCUGCACCCGGCUGGCCCCCUCACUCUGACCAUCCUGCACCCCCACGCCGACCCUCCGACCCUCCAUCCCCACUGCCUCCUCACUGGUCCCUGGUCAGCCCUGGGUCAUCCGGCUUUGAACUUGAACCCUGGGAAGCCCAUCUCUGCUCCAGCUUCUUGUUUCCCAGCCUCCAGCACAGCCAGCAUGGCUGGACCCAGGGGCCUCUCUGCCCUCCUGUCUUUUCUCCCUUCCUGGGAAGGAUUGGGGGACCCCCUGCCCCAGGCUCCCAAGGAGCCAGCAGCCUGAAAAGACCCCCCUCUGAGGUUUUGUGUAACUGUGUGGGACCCCCCCCAGCACCCGCUCAGGACAGAGCCCACUGCUCUUGAUGGCCUGGCAAUUUCCUUCCCACCACAGAGGCGGAAAGCCCUCCCACCCGAGGGAGCAGACCCCCAUCUGCCCCACACAGUAUGGGGGUGUCUGGAAGGUCCCUGCUCCCCCAACCACCGCCCCCCAGAGGAAGGAUGUGCCAUCUGCCACAUGCAGCAAGAGCAGCCCCUGGCCCACCCUCUAGACAAAACCCACGCAAGCCCAAGGGCCCAGAAAAUAAAGCCCAAGUCUUUACCAAGGGCCAAUCAGAGCCUUUCCUACGUGCCUCUGACGGGAGAGACACGGAGUUUCUCAGGCUCAUCUGACCUCAGAAGUGCUUUCCCCGGAGCAUCUUAUGGGACCAUGGUUCCUGGGAGCCCUUUAUGAGAAACACCCAAAUUGUUCCUGAAGCCCUGGAGCACUGGGUUCCUGCGCUCGGGCCCAGCCCGGUGUGUGCUUGGGGUCAGAGGAGGAUGCUGAGAAAGCUCCAGGUACCAGGCAUGGGCUCCCGGCUUCCCUCACCCACACUCGGUGCCUAAGGUCUGCAGUUGC